Molecule: small nucleolar RNA, 234 nt
Organism: Gigantopelta aegis
Lineage: Eukaryota; Metazoa; Mollusca; Gastropoda; Neomphalida; Peltospiridae
Product: small nucleolar RNA SNORA73 family
Exons: 1
Source: RefSeq, a predicted model, not a curated record
CCAAUGUUGACAUCCAGGGAUCUUGGUUCUCCUUGUUUCUCUGGCUCUGUCUCUGUGGCGAACGGGAGCUGAACGCCCCCACCCCGGGGCUUGAGGUGUAUUCCCUUUCCACAACAUUGGAGAGAAACCCGGUCCCCUGAUUUUAUCGGGUGUGGACCGGACCCUGCAUAUUCCAUAACCUUCCCAGAGUCACACUGACAGUUACUGGGGAGAUAAGCCAUGCAGGGUAUAUAC